Molecule: ribosomal RNA, 253 nt
Filed under: uncultured bacterium
Lineage: Bacteria
Description: partial 16S ribosomal RNA
Rfam family: Bacterial small subunit ribosomal RNA
Source: RNAcentral
UACGGGGGGUGCGAGCGUUGUCCGGAAUUACUGGGCGUAAAGCGCGCGUAGGUGGCCAUGUAAGUCCGCUGUGAAAGUCAAAGGCUCAACCUUUGAAAGCCGGUGGAUACUGCAUGGCUAGAGUACGGAAGAGGCGAGUGGAAUUCCUGGUGUAGCGGUGGAAUGCGCAGAUAUCAGGAGGAACACCAAUAGCGAAGGCAGCUCGCUGGGACGUUACUGACACUGAGGCGCGAAAGCGUGGGGAGCGAACAGG